UGCCCGGUGAAUAACUCUUUUUAACGGCCGCAGUACCCUGACUGUGCUAAGGUAGCAUAAUAAAUUGACUUUUAAUUGAAGUCCAGAAUAAACGGGGUAACGGGAGAAAUCUGUCUCACAAUAAAAAUUUUUAAAUUAUUAAAAAGGUGAAAAUACCUUUAAUCAAGAAAAUAGACGAGAAGACCCUAAGAAUUUUAAGAAAAUUUUAAAUCUCAAACCUUUUUACUGGGGCGGUAAAGAAUCAACAUUAACAUUCUAUAAAUAAAAUAAACCAAAUACUAUUCAUCAAAAAUAAAUUACCUUAGGGAUAACAGCAUUAUUUUUAUUUUAGCUUGUGACCUCGAUGUUGGACUAGGAAAUUUUAAGAUUAGCCAUCAUAAAAAUG
RNAcentral lists this ribosomal RNA (385 nucleotides) under Colosius lugubris. Its description in RNAcentral is "partial 16S ribosomal RNA". It matches the Rfam family "Bacterial large subunit ribosomal RNA", at positions 1860 to 2573 of the family's 2925-position model. Lineage: Eukaryota; Metazoa; Mollusca; Gastropoda; Systellommatophora; Veronicellidae. The record is from RNAcentral.